CGGACGAGGUGGACCGAGGCCUGCGCCCGAACGGCCCUGACGUACUUCCCCAACGCCAGGUACGGAUCGGGCGGGGACCCCGAUUCACCGGUCCGGCACU
Tsukamurella paurometabola DSM 20162 is the source of this 100-nucleotide regulatory RNA element. It matches the Rfam family "mraW RNA". The record is from Rfam. Lineage: Bacteria; Bacillati; Actinomycetota; Actinomycetes; Mycobacteriales; Tsukamurellaceae.